RNAcentral lists this ribosomal RNA (253 nucleotides) under uncultured bacterium. RNAcentral's name for it is "partial 16S ribosomal RNA". It matches the Rfam family "Bacterial small subunit ribosomal RNA", at positions 524 to 776 of the family's 1533-position model. The record is from RNAcentral.
UACGGAGGGGGCUAGCGUUGUUCGGAAUUACUGGGCGUAAAGCGCACGUAGGCGGACUGUUAAGUCAGGGGUGAAAUCCUGGAGCUCAACUCCAGAACUGCCUUUGAUACUGAAGAUCUUGAGUCCGGGAGAGGUGAGUGGAACUGCGAGUGUAGAGGUGAAAUUCGUAGAUAUUCGCAAGAGCACCAGUGGCGAAGGCGGCUCACUGGCCCGGUACUGACGCUGAGGCACGAAAGCGUGGGGAGCAAACAGG